CGCCGACCAUGAGUGAUUCUGCAGCAUUUCAUUAUGCUACAUGUGAACAGUACUGUAUAAAGUUAUUUUGUAUGAGUUACUUUUUGGUUCGAUUCUUUCGAGGGCGAGCCGACGCCAACAGCAUGGAUCACGGACCUGGUCACCGGUCUCAGACGCCGGGCCACCAUCCCCCGCAACCGCGGUAGACGAUGCGACGCGCGACGGCAAGCGAUACCUGGCGGCGGCCGCCCCACACCAGAGGAACAAGGGUGCUGGAGCUCACGAGACGACAGGCCACCAUCCUCGCCCAGCUCCGCGCCGGCAACGCUUGCGCUCUAACGGUUUUGACAUGUGCAGUUCUGAAUCGACUGUAUUUAGUCCCUCGUAGCGUCUCGCUGCGGGGGAGGGCGGAGCACGGCGGAAGGCUGGGGAGCCGAAAGGGAGGACUAUUUACGUCGGCUGAAAGGAAUUUCACGUUCCCGGGAAAGGGACGCGUUGGCGCGGCCGUGGUGAUGCCGUGUGAUGUGCUAUGUUCAAGUCUUGUAUCUCGGAAUGAUGUGAAGGACAAACAACAGCGAAAAGGAAAUCUAAAAAAGCCAUCACACAACGGAGUAGAGCGAAUGGCGGCGGGGGGCCGCGUUGUGAUAGAUCGGCUUGAUCCUCCAGGGUCGUUGCUCUCUCCUCCAAAUGCUUACGUGCCCGUGUGCGUCUCCGCGAUCCCGUGAGAGGGUGGGACACUUCAACGUGCUGCGCCUUUUUUUUUUGGAAUUUAAGUUUUAUUGGCUCAGCAAGG
Molecule: unclassified non-coding RNA, 772 nt
Filed under: Leishmania donovani
Lineage: Eukaryota; Euglenozoa; Kinetoplastea; Trypanosomatida; Trypanosomatidae
Description: gene:unknown
Source: RNAcentral